RNAcentral lists this ribosomal RNA (2927 nucleotides) under Mangrovibacter sp. MFB070. RNAcentral's name for it is "bacterial LSU rRNA". It matches the Rfam family "Bacterial large subunit ribosomal RNA". The record is from RNAcentral. Lineage: Bacteria; Pseudomonadati; Pseudomonadota; Gammaproteobacteria; Enterobacterales; Enterobacteriaceae.
GGGUUGUGAGGUUAAGCGACUAAGCGUACACGGUGGAUGCCCUGGCAGUCAGAGGCGAUGAAGGACGUGCUAAUCUGCGAAAAGCGCCGGUAAGGUGAUAUGAACCGUUAUAACCGGCGAUGUCCGAAUGGGGAAACCCAGUGUGACUCGUCACACUAUCAUUAACUGAAUCCAUAGGUUAAUGAGGCGAACCGGGAGAACUGAAACAUCUAAGUACCCCGAGGAAAAGAAAUCAACCGAGAUUCCCCAAGUAGCGGCGAGCGAACGGGGAAGAGCCCAGAGUCUGAAUCAGCAGGUGUGUUAGUGGAACGGUCCGGAAUGGCCGGCGAUACAGGGUGAAAGCCCCGUACACGAAAGUGCACCUGUUGUGAGCUCGAUGAGUAGGGCGGGACACGUGGUAUCCUGUCUGAAUAUGGGGGGACCAUCCUCCAAGGCUAAAUACUCCUGACUGACCGAUAGUGAACCAGUACCGUGAGGGAAAGGCGAAAAGAACCCCGGCGAGGGGAGUGAAAAAGAACCUGAAACCGUGUACGUACAAGCAGUGGGAGCCUCUUUAAUGGGGUGACUGCGUACCUUUUGUAUAAUGGGUCAGCGACUUAUAUUCUGUAGCAAGGUUAACCGUAUAGGGGAGCCGCAGGGAAACCGAGUCUUAACCGGGCGUCCAGUUGCAGGGUAUAGACCCGAAACCCGGUGAUCUAGCCAUGGGCAGGUUGAAGGUUGGGUAACACUAACUGGAGGACCGAACCGACUAAUGUUGAAAAAUUAGCGGAUGACCUGUGGCUGGGGGUGAAAGGCCAAUCAAACCGGGAGAUAGCUGGUUCUCCCCGAAAGCUAUUUAGGUAGCGCCUCGUGAACUCAUCUUCGGGGGUAGAGCACUGUUUCGGCUAGGGGGCCAUCCCGGCUUACCAACCCGAUGCAAACUACGAAUACCGAAGAAUGUUAUCACGGGAGACACACGGCGGGUGCUAACGUCCGUCGUGAAGAGGGAAACAACCCAGACCGCCAGCUAAGGUCCCAAAGUCAUGGUUAAGUGGGAAACGAUGUGGGAAGGCCCAGACAGCCAGGAUGUUGGCUUAGAAGCAGCCAUCAUUUAAAGAAAGCGUAAUAGCUCACUGGUCGAGUCGGCCUGCGCGGAAGAUGUAACGGGGCUAAACCAUGCACCGAAGCUGCGGCAGCGACACUAAGUGUUGUUGGGUAGGGGAGCGUUCUGUAAGCCGGUGAAGGUGUGCUGUGAGGCAUGCUGGAGGUAUCAGAAGUGCGAAUGCUGACAUAAGUAACGAUAAUGCGGGUGAAAAACCCGCACGCCGGAAGACCAAGGGUUCCUGUCCAACGUUAAUCGGGGCAGGGUGAGUCGACCCCUAAGGCGAGGCCGAAAGGCGUAGUCGAUGGGAAACAGGUUAAUAUUCCUGUACUUGGUGUUACUGCGAAGGGGGGACGGAGAAGGCUGUGUCAUCCGGGCGACGGUUGUCCCGGUUUAAGCGUGAAGGUGGAGUGACCAGGCAAAUCCGGUUGCUCAUUAACACUGAGGCGUGAUGACGAGGCACUACGGUGCUGAAGUGACAGAUGCCCUGCUUCCAGGAAAAGCCUCUAAGCUCCAGGUAACACGAAAUCGUACCCCAAACCGACACAGGUGGUCAGGUAGAGAAUACCAAGGCGCUUGAGAGAACUCGGGUGAAGGAACUAGGCAAAAUGGUGCCGUAACUUCGGGAGAAGGCACGCUGACACGUAGGUGAAGUCCCUCGCGGAUGGAGCUGAAGUCAGUCGAAGAUACCAGCUGGCUGCAACUGUUUAUUAAAAACACAGCACUGUGCAAACACGAAAGUGGACGUAUACGGUGUGACGCCUGCCCGGUGCCGGAAGGUUAAUUGAUGGGGUCAGCGCAAGCGAAGCUCCUGAUCGAAGCCCCGGUAAACGGCGGCCGUAACUAUAACGGUCCUAAGGUAGCGAAAUUCCUUGUCGGGUAAGUUCCGACCUGCACGAAUGGCGUAAUGAUGGCCAGGCUGUCUCCACCCGAGACUCAGUGAAAUUGAACUCGCCGUGAAGAUGCGGUGUACCCGCGGCAAGACGGAAAGACCCCGUGAACCUUUACUAUAGCUUGACACUGAACAUUGAGCCUUGAUGUGUAGGAUAGGUGGGAGGCUUUGAAGUGUGGACGCCAGUCUGCAUGGAGCCAACCUUGAAAUACCACCCUUUAAUGUUUGAUGUUCUAACCUGGCGCCAUAAUCUGGCGUGGGGACAGUGUCUGGUGGGUAGUUUGACUGGGGCGGUCUCCUCCUAAAGUGUAACGGAGGAGCACGAAGGUUGGCUAAUCCUGGUCGGACAUCAGGAGGUUAGUGCAAUGGCAUAAGCCAGCUUGACUGCGAGCGUGACGGCGCGAGCAGGUGCGAAAGCAGGUCAUAGUGAUCCGGUGGUUCUGAAUGGAAGGGCCAUCGCUCAACGGAUAAAAGGUACUCCGGGGAUAACAGGCUGAUACCGCCCAAGAGUUCAUAUCGACGGCGGUGUUUGGCACCUCGAUGUCGGCUCAUCACAUCCUGGGGCUGAAGUAGGUCCCAAGGGUAUGGCUGUUCGCCAUUUAAAGUGGUACGCGAGCUGGGUUUAGAACGUCGUGAGACAGUUCGGUCCCUAUCUGCCGUGGGCGCUGGAGAAUUGAGGGGGGCUGCUCCUAGUACGAGAGGACCGGAGUGGACGCAUCACUGGUGUUCGGGUUGUCAUGCCAAUGGCAUUGCCCGGUAGCUACAUGCGGAAGAGAUAAGUGCUGAAAGCAUCUAAGCACGAAACUUGCCCCGAGAUGAGUUCUCCCUGACCCUUUAAGGGUCCUGAAGGAACGUUGAAGACGACGACGUUGAUAGGCCGGGUGUGUAAGCGCAGCGAUGCGUUGAGCUAACCGGUACUAAUGAACCGUGAGGCUUAACCUUACAACGCCAAAG